This 253-nucleotide ribosomal RNA is filed under the name uncultured bacterium. RNAcentral describes it as "partial 16S ribosomal RNA". It matches the Rfam family "Bacterial small subunit ribosomal RNA", at positions 524 to 776 of the family's 1533-position model. The record is from RNAcentral.
UACGUAGGGUGCAAGCGUUGUCCGGAAUUAUUGGGCGUAAAGAGCUUGUAGGCGGUUUGUCGCGUCUGCUGUGAAAUUUCGGGGCUCAACCCCGAACUUGCAGUGGGUACGGGCAGACUAGAGUGUGGUAGGGGAGACUGGAAUUCCUGGUGUAGCGGUGAAAUGCGCAGAUAUCAGGAGGAACACCAGAGGCGAAGGCGGCGACCUGGACAGAUACUGACACUGAACUACGAAAGCGUGGGGAGCAAACAGG